This 2903-nucleotide long non-coding RNA is filed under the name Lytechinus variegatus (green sea urchin). RNAcentral describes it as "uncharacterized LOC121414425". The record is from RNAcentral. Lineage: Eukaryota; Metazoa; Echinodermata; Echinoidea; Temnopleuroida; Toxopneustidae.
CUUAGCGCCCCCUCGCGGCCCAAGUGCGCAUAUGCAUUUAACGUUGUUGUGCUGCAAUCUCUACAGGGGCGAUGAAAAAAUCUUUGGCGAAUGUUGUGGCAUCUGGCGCUGAUACGACCAACUCUCUCUGUCUGUCCCCAACAGUUUAUUUAUUUCGCAAGAAUUCCGUGGAGGAAACAUUUUUUUCCAUGUUUGAAGUCUUGCUUGGUGAUGGAAUGAGUCAUUUUCUGAAGCAAUGAGAUGGAAGGAACCUUCAUAGCAUCCAACAAACAAGGAUUUCUAUGAGGCAUUGUGUUUUCCACAUUGCAGACCUCUGUAUCACCAACUUAAAUGAGCCUCCACCUGUCCACCAUGAUCUCCCCCAAACUUAAUCCACACCUCUUCUUCAGGAAUUGCCCCAUCGUGAGUUGUGAGAAAUCCAUUCCUGUGGAAAGAUGAUGGAACAUGAACAUAUGGUCUGUGACUCUGCUAUGGACCUAGUGAAUCACUGUUGACUGUCCAUGGUUCAAGUGAGGAUUGGCAAACCUGGUCAUUUCUUGAUUACCUACAGAAUGCAAUUGCAACAUAUGCAAAAUCUUAUGCAGGAAUGGGGCUAUAGCAGUGAUGGGACACUACCUUUGACUGUGAAGAUCAGACGAUGCAAUUCCCGUUGGUCAGCCCCCCCCCCCCCCCAAGGAGCCAUGCACUGCCAGAGAUCUUGAGCCAGGUCUUCAGUGGUUAUCCAUUGAUAAGAAGAACGGAGAUAAUAAAGACAGUGAGGUAUCUUGUUGAUUUCGACGUGACCAUCUUCCUAACGCUUCUUCCAAACAAUGAACUGGAGGCUCUUUCCACGAAUGAAUGUUUAGCUGCUUCAAGUGUGAUUCCAGCUUUUUCAAGAGCUUCUUGUUGUUCUACUUCUACUGGCCUUUAUUGUAGUUAACAUGUCCUGUGAAUGUUUUUAGGAGCCCAGUUUUGCUACAAACACAGUAAACCUCAAGUUCACAUAUAGUUAAAAAAACGGUCUACUUGUAACAUUAUCUAGGAAAAAGUUCUACAAAUUGGACAUGGUGAAACUUUUCAUUCAUUAUGUUUUCAGUAUUUACUGAGGUACUCACUACAAAAGGAAGUUGGGGUCAAAAGGUCAAGUUUUUGUUCAACUUGGUCACAUUCCUUUAUUUCUGCAUCAAUUAUGUUCACACUACAUCUGAUCCUUGGGUAAUACAUGUACUUUCAUUAGGAUAAUGGGUCAAAGGCCUAAUGUUAAUAAUCAACUGCCUAAUGUUAAUAAUCAACUGAAAAUUACUUAGUCAGAAAAGGUGGUUUAUUGGAUUCCCUAUCUUUUGCUUAUAAUUAUUUUUUUUCAAAUUUAGUAUUUCUCCAUCAAAUCUGACAAAUUCAUUAUUUUUUUAUCAAUAAUUAUUAAACGAUGUCAGUAAUAAGAGUUUUGAGAAACAUGUGCAAGUAUAUGUACCAAUAUCCAUGUGCAGAAUAUUUGCUGCAAGGUUAAAUGCUACAGUGAAAUUUUAAAGUGCGCAACCAUAGGAUACGGGAAAAGAGUUCUUGCAGCCUUUGAUGUACUUAUAAAGAUCAAGAUAGAAUUCACCCAAAACAUCUAUUAGGUGUUAGUAGCUGAAAAUAUCCUAGAUUAGUUCAGAACUAUUCAUCUGGAAGAAGAGACAAGUCAAAGCAUUUUAAACAAUUUCAAAACUUACCUGCGCUAUAUUUGUUUUUAAUUGAUAUGCAGUUAGAAUUGAUCAAAUUCUGAUUGCAAGCUGACAAAUUUAUUUAAAAGGAGGGUAUUAACAUGAAUGUAUUUCAAUACAAAUAAGACAUCUCUGGCAGUCUUGCCUGCAUUAUUAUGCAAUUCAAUAUGGUCAGAAGUUCGGUAUGGAAAUGGGUGGAUAAUGGAAAAAGUAUUUGUCGAGUUAAAUGCCAAUAAUUGAAUAAUAUUAAAUUCAAUUAUCAAUAAAAAAAAGACUUCUGGAAUGUCUCUCUACAGUUAUUAUUCAUGACAUGUCUAAUUAUACUACACUAGUAGGAAAAUGUCAUAAUAAUAUAAUAUUCAAAUUGAAAAAAAAAAUUUAGUUCCAAUAAUUUAGAUAUAUUUCACUUCAAACUUUAAUUCAAAGACUACAGGCAUCACUUUUUAUACGCCCGUCUUGACGGGACGUAUUAAGGUAUCAUGCUCGGUGUCCGUCCGUCCGUUAACUUUUCCUUGUAAACGUGAUAACUUCAGUUUAGAGCAAUUUCAAAAAAGAGCUUGUAGAAUCUAGGCUCAUAUAAUUUGGUGCACGAUACUAGCAUGGAUCCCAGGAAGCCUAUUGAUUUAGAGGUCAGAAGGUCAAAGGUGAAGUCACCAUCUUUCACUUAUCUUGUUUGACCAAUAGCUCCAUUUUCCAUGUUACAGACAGCAUAUAUCUUGUGCCCGCCUUAGCAACACUCUUGUUCGAUUUGAAGUGUAUUGAUUAAGAAGUUAAUAACAUGUAACAGUCUGUUAAAAUUCUUGGUGUAAUCGUCCAAUCCAAUCUAAAAUGGGACCUACAUAUCAUGGAAAUCAUCAAAAAAUGUAACAGGAAGUUGUACAUGUUUAGGCUUUCGAAGCAAUAUGGGCUGUCUCUAUCGGAUCUGAAAUUGGUAUACAUGGGCUACAUUCGUCCUGUUAUGGAAUAUUGCACCCCAGUUUUUAAUGGUGGGCUUACAAAGAAAUAUGUAAGAAGUUUAGAGCAAAUUCAAAAAAGAGCUUGUAGAAUCAUGUUGGGCCCAAACUACCCGGGCAAACUACACAGAUUAUGCCAGUGCUUGCCUAUCAUGUGAAAUUCCUACUCUGGAAUACAGAAGGGAGAAACUCGGCCUGGAUUUCGCAAUAUCUGUAACCAAAUAUCCAACAUUCAGUACCUGGUUACCUCCUCCAAAAAACUUACCCA